Long non-coding RNA from Gadus morhua (Atlantic cod), 1608 nucleotides. The record is from Ensembl. Lineage: Eukaryota; Metazoa; Chordata; Actinopteri; Gadiformes; Gadidae.
GAACUAUUACGUCGCACCGGCCAUGCCCACUUGACCCUAUCAAGCUCGACAAAGAGAUUGGAGUGCAGAGCUGAUAGCCAGACCCGCAGAGAGCCUGGGGCUCGAAGUAGCUCUACGGUAUUUCUCUCACACGCGUUAGAUACAAUUCCCUCCCUUCUGCUUCAUAGUUACCGUACGAAAAUGAACCAACGAAGACGGAGGACUACUCUAUGAUGUCUUUUGCAAAUUUGAGGAUUACCGCGUCGCAUCAGUUGGUCCUGCGGGCCUCUGAUGCGGCGGCGGCCUUCACCGCCGCCAUGGGGCCACGCGGGACCCAGGCUCCCGCCAGGGCCAAGAAGCCGGGGGAGGUGGAGAAGGAGGCCCGUGCCCGCGUCGUCUCCGAGGGUGGUGACCCUGGGAACCCCAUGCUGGUGCUGGGCUGCCACAGCAUCCAGCUGGGGAAGUACCAGGGUCAGACCUUCCGAUGGCUCCUGGAGAACGACGCGGGCUACGCCUGUCACCUGGUCGACAGUCACCAGCGGGAGCGGGAGACUAGUGCCUCGGACAGCCCGCUCAUGGCCAACAAGGACAGCCUCGCCCGCUACUCCUGCGCCCACCCCGCUUUUGCGGAGCACCUCAAGUUCCGCCGGGCGCAGGAGGAGGCCCGGGCUCGCGCCACUCUGCCCGGGCGGGGGGGCGAGGCGCUUGUUGGCUUCGGGCUGUUCAAGGAGGACACCCUGAAGGACCUGUACGAAUCCAAGGACAAGGACCGUCAGGAGUAAGUCAUAUUGUGGUGAAGGGCAGUGGAGACGGUGCUGUGACAUGUUUAUAUUUUUUGAUUUUCGAUCAUUGUCUUGCAGAUACGUCAAGUGGCUACGACGGAAGACACCGCAGCCUGGGAGCUCCAUGGACGCCGCCAUUCAGUACUUCUUGGGCCGAGACAAGGAGCGGUCGGCGGAGGCGGCUGCUACACCCCCUCCGCCCGCCAGCAGCAGCACCAGCAGCGGCCCCAGCACCACCACCAGCCAGGCCGCUGCUUCAACCGUGCUGCCGCCCCGCAAGCCGACCGCUCCCAAUUUCUCGGCCCUUGUGCGCGGGCGUCCGAUGGGCCCCAGGGAGCUGCAGGCCCAGAUCAGGAGACUGAUGAGCCCACCAGCACGGCCUGCAGCUCCAGGUCGGUAGCUCUUUCUUUCUGUUACACACAACAGAGGUUGAGUGUAUACGAUUUACUGACCGUUGCCCCCCCCCCCCAUAGCGGUGUCUUCCGUCAGAGACCAGCGCCCCUCGGUUCCGCCGCCCCCCACCACAGAGGUGACGGACGAGGAGCUGGUCCGGAUGGUCACUGAUGUAGAAAUGGGUAACUGGCACCACACCGGACGUGUCGCACUGUAACAUUGGCCUUGGAUAUCUAUUCUUGAGUCAGUAUGUUUGUAUUAACUGUAACUUUUUAAUUUGCUGGUCGCUAAAGCUGAUGCCUGAAGGAUAAAGGUAGGUUUAUCAGGUGAUGUAGCCGUCUUUGUAGGUGGUAGACGCGCCGUCCUCUCUCACGUGGUGGUAAUGUGGAUUUGAUUAAACUCCCAGUCUAGCAAACCUCGCCUUGUAACUAACAGUCGCCUUGUAGCACUAAAC